UUUCGGAAUUGUUAGAUUACUUGUUGGUUAUUACUGCAUUGUCGGAACUAGAAGCACAAGCAUUUCGCUACACUCGCAUUAACAUCUGCUAACCAUGUGUAUGUGACAAAUAAAAUUUGAUUUGAUUUGAAAAGGGUGGCCUGGUCCAGCUCUGGGAAACACAUCACAGGAAUAAGGACAGAUGUAUUGCCUCUUGCCAGACCACCAUAGGUACAGAGAACUUGUUUACAAUCUCGCUUGGUUAAGGACUUCACGUUUUUUUCCAUUACAUACAAUAAGAGCAUUUACUACAGUCCCUGUACAGAUGUAUGACCCUGGAGUGUUGAGGCAUGUUUUGGUUUGGCUGAUCGACACCUACAGCAAAUCAAUCAAAAACACAAAAAUAGUACAGGACCAACCAAAACAACAUUCACCUCCUUCACUAUUACCCUCCUCACUAGGCCCUGUAGAGCUGAAGGUGUCGAUACAGUACUCCUCACUAGGCCCUGUAGAGCUGAAGGUGCCGAUACAGUACUCCUCGCUAGGCCCUGUAGAGCUGAGGGUGUCGAUACAGUACUCCUCGCUAGGCCCUGUAGAGCUGAAGGUGUCGAUACAGUACUCCUCGCUAGGCCCUGUAGAGCUGAAGGUGU
Oncorhynchus tshawytscha (Chinook salmon) is the source of this 629-nucleotide long non-coding RNA. NCBI's taxonomy places the organism in Eukaryota, Metazoa, Chordata, Actinopteri, Salmoniformes, Salmonidae. The record is from Ensembl.